CCUACGGGAGGCAGCAGUAGGGAAUAUUGCUCAAUGGGGGAAACCCUGAAGCAGCAACGCCGCGUGGAGGAUGAAGGUUUUCGGAUUGUAAACUCCUUUUGUUAGAGAAGAUAAUGACGGUAUCUAACGAAUAAGCAACGGCUAACUCCGUGCCAGCAGCCGCGGUAAUACGGAGGGUGCAAGCGUUACUCGGAAUCACUGGGCGUAAAGAGCGCGUAGGCGGGAUAGCAAGUCAGAUGUGAAAUCCUAGGGCUUAACCAUAGAACUGCAUUUGAAACUGGUAUUCUAGAGUAUGGGAGAGGUAGGUGGAAUUCGUGGUGUAGGGGUAAAAUCCGUAGAUAUCAAGAGGAAUACUCAUUGCGAAGGCGACCUGCUAGAACAUAACUGACGCUGAUGCGCGAAAGCGUGGGGAGCAAACAGGAUUAGAUACCCGUGUAGUC
Molecule: ribosomal RNA, 440 nt
Filed under: uncultured bacterium
Lineage: Bacteria
Description: partial 16S ribosomal RNA
Rfam family: Bacterial small subunit ribosomal RNA
Source: RNAcentral